AGAAACCUAAUGGGAAUCUCUUAGUAAUGGCGAAUGAAAAGAGAUGUGCUUAGUGUCAAAAUCAGGUUUCCCUGACUUGUAGGCUGUAGGCGCUAUGCCAACUUGGGUGCAGGUGCAAGUCUCUUGGAAUAGAGCACCAGUGAGGGUGAGGGUCCCUUCUGUCAUCUGUCAUCCCUUGUAGACGGUUUGCGUUCUGAGAGUCGUGUUCUUCUGGAAUAGAGCGCCAAGUGGGUGGUACUCUUUGCCUAAGGAGCAUUACAUACUUGAGACCAAUAGUGAACAAGUACCAUGAGGGAAGGAUGAAAAGGACUUUGGAAAGAGGGUUAAGAGGACAUGAAGCUGCUGGAAGGGAAGUGGAUUGGACUUCUGUCUGUGGCAAGAUUGCAGGUUGCACUACUCUCUGAGGAACUGCGACUUGUGUUUCUUGCUACUUAGUGGGAUUCUGUGUGGUGUCCACAAUCUAAGCUUUACUUGGCAAAAACCUGCUGGUUGCUCCAUAGUUUAGCUUUCUGUUGGCACUACAUAAUUCUUCCACUAAAGAGUUCAAUUUUACCCGUCUUGAAACACGGACCAAGGAGUCUAAUGCGUGUGCAAGUGUAAGGGUUUUAAACCUGACAGCAUAACAAACGUGACUGCUGGGAUUCUUGCGCCAGCAACCAACUGAUCACUUAGGAGAUGUUUGUGUAUGAGCAUGCUUGCUAGGACCCGAAAGGUGGUGAACUAUGCCUGAGAAGGGUGACGUCAGGGGAAACUCUGAUGGAAGCUCGUAGCGCUACUGACGUGCAAAUCGUUCGUCUGACUUGGGU
Molecule: ribosomal RNA, 806 nt
Filed under: Amphidinium thermaeum
Lineage: Eukaryota; Dinophyceae; Amphidiniales; Amphidiniaceae
Description: partial large subunit ribosomal RNA
Rfam family: Eukaryotic large subunit ribosomal RNA
Source: RNAcentral